CGCACUUGCCAUCGCCCUGGGCCCUGGGAAGCAGACUCUCUAUUCAGAAGGAAUUUUCUCAAAGCUGAUUUGCUGACCCAUCCCUUCCACAGGCUCAAGUUGUCAAGAACGCCGGGUCAACAGGCAGUUCCGCUAAGGUGAGGCCAUCACACAG
This is a long non-coding RNA of Bos indicus x Bos taurus (hybrid cattle), 154 nucleotides long. NCBI's taxonomy places the organism in Eukaryota, Metazoa, Chordata, Mammalia, Artiodactyla, Bovidae. The record is from Ensembl.